UGCGGAAGGAUCAUUAUCGAGUUUUGAACGGGUUGUCUGCUGGCUCGCAAGGGCAUGUGCACGCCUGUCUCAUCCACUCUCAACUUCUGUGCACUUUUCAUAGGCCGGCUUGUGGGUGCGUUCGCGCACUUGUAGGUGUCGGGCUUAUGCUUUAUUACAAACGAUUCAGUUUUAGAAUGUCAUACUUUGCUAUAACGCAAUUUAUAUACAACUUUCAGCAACGGAUCUCUUGGCUCUCGCAUCGAUGAAGAACGCAGCGAAAUGCGAUAAGUAAUGUGAAUUGCAGAAUUCAGUGAAUCAUCGAAUCUUUGAACGCACCUUGCGCUCCUUGGUAUUCCGAGGAGCAUGCCUGUUUGAGUCUCAUGGAAUUCUCAACCUUCAGCUUUAUUGAUGAAGGCUUGGACUUGGAGGUCGUGCCGGCUCUCGUAGUCGGCUCCUCUGAAAUGCAUUAGUGCGAACGUUACCAGCCGCUUCAGCGUGAUAAUUAUCUGCGUUGCUGUGGAGGGUAUUCUAGUGUUCACGCUUCUAACCGUCUUCGGACAAAUUUCUGAACUCUGAGCUCAAAUCAGGUAGGACUACCCGCUGAACUUAAGCAUAUCAAUA
This 603-nucleotide ribosomal RNA is filed under the name Thanatephorus cucumeris. RNAcentral's name for it is "eukaryotic LSU rRNA". The stretch from base 210 to 363 matches the Rfam family "5.8S ribosomal RNA". Lineage: Eukaryota; Fungi; Basidiomycota; Agaricomycetes; Cantharellales; Ceratobasidiaceae. The record is from RNAcentral.